CUGUUGGAGUCAGUGGGAGCAUUUCCAUAGAGCCACUUUGCAUCAGCAGCUCCAUGCUCCAGUGCUCUGGGAGAGUUUAUAGUCCUGAGAGCUGAACACUGGAGGACUGACAGCUGUCCUUCAUCACAACACAAGACACAGAAAUCCUCCUCAUCAGCAACAUGACUCUGAUCUCCGUCCUCAUCUGGACUCUCCUCUGCUGCUGCUUCACAGAGUCCAGAGGUCAGGUCACAGUGACUCAGCCUGGAGCAGUGAGAACCACACUGGGAGGAAGAGUCACCAUCAGCUGUAGAACCAGUCAGAAUGUUUAUUAUAGCACCUACCACUAUUUAGCCUGGUACCAACAGAAAAAUGGAGAAUCUCCUAAACUGCUCAUUUACCUUGCUAUUCGUCGACAGUCAGGGAUUCCAGAUCGUUUUUCAGGCAGUGGAUCAAACUCUGACUUCACUCUGACCAUCAGUGGAGUCCAGGCUGAAGAUGCAGCAGAUUAUUACUGUCAGAGUUAUCAUUCCAUCAACAGCAAAGAUGUGUUCACACAGUGA
Betta splendens (Siamese fighting fish) is the source of this 542-nucleotide non-coding RNA. The record is from the annotation of a RefSeq genome assembly. NCBI's taxonomy places the organism in Eukaryota, Metazoa, Chordata, Actinopteri, Anabantiformes, Osphronemidae.